GGUCAAAGAACCACUUACGUGAUACUCGUCGCAAUAACGAAAUGAAAUCGCCAACGUGAUGUCAAGUUGAUGCAUUUUUAGAUGAAGAGUACGCGCUAUUAUUGAUGGUCAAAGAACCACUUACGUGACACCCGUCACAAUAACAGAAUGAAAUUGCCAACGUGAUGUUCAAGCUGACACAUUUCAGUUGAAGAACAUCACGCUGUUAUUGAUGGUUAAAGAAUCAUUUACGUGACGCCCGUCACAAUAACAGAAUGAAAUCACCAACGUGGUGUUCAAGCUGACACAUUUCUGUUGAAAGAACAUCACACCGUUAUUGAUGGUCAAAGCACCACUUACGUGACACUCGUCACAAUAACGGAAUGAAAUCGCCAACGUGAUGUUCAAGUUGACAUAUUUCAGAUGAAGAACAUCACACCGUUAUUGAUGGUCAAAGAACCAC
Molecule: long non-coding RNA, 442 nt
Filed under: Lotus japonicus
Lineage: Eukaryota; Viridiplantae; Streptophyta; Magnoliopsida; Fabales; Fabaceae
Description: long non-coding RNA (LJAP_LNC000412)
Source: RNAcentral